CACUUUCUACCUGUGACCAUGUGGGUUUUCUCCAAGUGCGCUGGUUUCCUCCCACAUAUCUAAGACAUGCGGGUUUCUAGGUUGAUCGUCCUCUGUAAAUUGUCCCUAGUGUAGUAACAUACAACUAAUGGUGUGGG
Amblyraja radiata (thorny skate) is the source of this 137-nucleotide long non-coding RNA. RefSeq lists it as uncharacterized. The transcript has 3 exons. The record is from RefSeq and is a predicted model, not a curated record. NCBI's taxonomy places the organism in Eukaryota, Metazoa, Chordata, Chondrichthyes, Rajiformes, Rajidae.